CGAUAACACCAACCAUAGUCGCUAUCCAUCUUUCCGCCCCGACUCCAAUACAUCGCCGCUGCCACCACUACUCCAGCCAAACCCUCACCAACGACCGUCGCUGAGAUUGCUUCUUGGCUCAUUCGAAGAUGUCGCUAAAGAAUCAACAGCAGCUCAGACACGGAAAAGCUGUCACUGGUGGAUCACGACGGAACCAGACGCCGAUUGAAAGCUCAACUGCAGUGCACCGAGACCACAAAGGAGACCCUUCCUCCCUAUGCCGACCCGGACCUCGUUACAGUACAGGUCCAAGGCCUCUCACUUCGACGAUGAGGAGCUGUCACUGAAGGAGGUUACUCCGCCUCCGCCGUCCCACAGAUAUCUUCUCUGCUUGGUGGGUCAUUUCUUCGGAGAAAAGCAAAUCAAUUUUCAAGGCAUGAAACGUACUCUGGCACUCGCAUGGAAGCUAGGACGGAAGACGGUGAUCUCUAG
RNAcentral lists this long non-coding RNA (471 nucleotides) under Linum usitatissimum (flax). Its description in RNAcentral is "long non-coding RNA (LUSI_LNC008231)". Lineage: Eukaryota; Viridiplantae; Streptophyta; Magnoliopsida; Malpighiales; Linaceae. The record is from RNAcentral.